AUAGAUAGAUAGAUAGAUAGAUAGAUAGAUAGAUAGAUAGAUAGAUAGAUAGAUAGAUAGACAGACAUUGACUGGCGAAUGAGAUGGCAAUAGCCUCUGGAUUAUUUUUCAUAAAAUACAUUAUUGCUCUUCCCACUUCUCUUCCGCAAUGACGCUUGAAUAGAUUUAUCAUCCUCUUCCUCUUCAUCUUCAUAGCUACCACAGUUUACCAAACACAAAUGCCAUAUUUCUGCCACAAAAGAUUUCCAAUAUUACAAAUUGACUGUCACCAGAGAAACCAUCACAUCACACCAUGACUGU
This is a long non-coding RNA of Octopus sinensis (East Asian common octopus), 300 nucleotides long. RefSeq lists it as uncharacterized. The record is from RefSeq and is a predicted model, not a curated record. NCBI's taxonomy places the organism in Eukaryota, Metazoa, Mollusca, Cephalopoda, Octopoda, Octopodidae. The transcript has 2 exons.